UUUAAUAUCAGUGUGUGUAAGCUAGCAAACCAACAGUCAGACUACGAUGUAAAUAAAUGAGAACCACAGACUGGAGUAAAGUUUAGCUCUGAGGGUGGAGAGUGGACUCUGUGGCUUCAACCAGCAAUACUGUGUAUUUCACAGGUGGAUGCUGUCAUCACCAGUAUUGAAAGACGAACAAGGCUAAAUUCAACUUUAAAUAGACUACAUGGUGCGUUUUGCCCAACUCACCUUUGCCCUGGGAGAGAAAUGGAGUCUGAGAUAGAAGAGGAGGGAGGAUUGAGGGAAGGAUGGAGAAGAGAUCCCCCUCAACAUAAUGAUAACCGCAGAGAUCUGGCCACCGUCCCCCACCGGCCCCUGGACACUCAGCCCCGCGGCCCCCAGGGUCAUGGUUCUUAAUUGGCCAAGACCAGUCCUUCAUCCUGGCCUCCUUGGAUUUGUCAUUAGCCUAUCAUACCGCUGAAGGACUACGGCCAAGC
This is a non-coding RNA of Neolamprologus brichardi, 479 nucleotides long. NCBI's taxonomy places the organism in Eukaryota, Metazoa, Chordata, Actinopteri, Cichliformes, Cichlidae. The record is from RefSeq and is a predicted model, not a curated record.